CGGGCGUCCUCACAAAUUACCUGCAUUCAGAGAUGCGUAUCGGCACAGGCCGGUAUGCGAAAGUCCCAUCAUGGGGCCUUAGCUCAGCUGGGAGAGCACCUGCUUUGCAAGCAGGGGGUCGUCGGUUCGAUCCCGACAGGCUCCACCAUUUGAGUGAAACGACUUUGGGUCUGUAGCUCAGGUGGUUAGAGCGCACCCCUGAUAAGGGUGAGGUCGGUGGUUCGAGUCCUCCCAGACCCACCACUCUGAAUGUAGUGCACACUUAAGAAUUUAUAUGGAUCAGCGUUGAGGCUGAGACAUGUUCUUUUAUAACUUGUGACGUAGCGAGCGUUUGAGAUAUCUAUCUAAACGUGUCGUUGAGGCUAAGGCGGGGACUUCGAGUCCCUAAAUAAUUGAGUCGUAUAUUCGCGUUGGUGGCUUUGUACCCCACACAACACGACAUAUGAUCCUGAGGCAACUUGGGGUUAUAUGGUCAAGCGAAUAAGCGCACACGGUGGAUGCCUAGGCGGUCAGAGGCGAUGAAGGACGUGGUAGCCUGCGAAAAGUGUCGGGGAGCUG
RNAcentral lists this unclassified non-coding RNA (558 nucleotides) under Xanthomonas citri pv. aurantifolii. RNAcentral describes it as "partial contains 16S-23S ribosomal RNA intergenic spacer and 23S ribosomal RNA". The stretch from base 167 to 240 matches the Rfam family "tRNA". The record is from RNAcentral. Lineage: Bacteria; Pseudomonadati; Pseudomonadota; Gammaproteobacteria; Lysobacterales; Lysobacteraceae.